RNAcentral lists this ribosomal RNA (253 nucleotides) under uncultured bacterium. RNAcentral's name for it is "partial 16S ribosomal RNA". It matches the Rfam family "Bacterial small subunit ribosomal RNA", at positions 524 to 776 of the family's 1533-position model. The record is from RNAcentral.
UACGAAGGGGGCUAGCGUUGCUCGGAAUCACUGGGCGUAAAGGGUGCGUAGGCGGGUCUUUAAGUCAGGGGUGAAAUCCUGGAGCUCAACUCCAGAACUGCCUUUGAUACUGAAGAUCUUGAGUUCGGGAGAGGUGAGUGGAACUGCGAGUGUAGAGGUGAAAUUCGUAGAUAUUCGCAAGAACACCAGUGGCGAAGGCGGCUUACUGGACCGGUUCUGACGCUGAGGCGCGAAAGCGUGGGGAGCAAACAGG